GCUUAACACAUGCAAGUCGAGCGGAGAUGAGGUGCUUGCACCUUAUCUUAGCGGCGGACGGGUGAGUAAUGCUUAGGAAUCCGCCAUUUAGUGGGGGACAACAUUCCGAAAGGAAUGCUAAUACCGCAUACGUCCUACGGGAGAAAGCAGGGGAUCUUCGGACCUUGCGCUAAAUGAUGAGCCUAAGUCGGAUUAGCUAGUUGGUGGGGUAAAGGCCUACCAAGGCGACGAUCUGUAGCGGGUCUGAGAGGAUGAUCCGCCACACUGGGACUGAGACACGGCCCAGACUCCUACGGGAGGCAGCAGUGGGGAAUAUUGGACAAUGGGCGGAAGCCUGAUCCAGCCAUGCCGCGUGUGUGAAGAAGGCCUUUUGGUUGCAAAGCACUUUAAGCGAGGAGGAGGCUACUAGUACUAAUACUACUGGAUAGUGGACGUUACUCGCAGAAUAAGCACCGGCUAACUCUGUGCCAGCAGCCGCGGUAAUACAGAGGGUGCGAGCGUUAAUCGGAUUUACUGGGCGUAAAGCGUGCGUAGGCGGCUUUUUAAGUCGGAUGUGAAAUCCCCGAGCUUAACUUGGGAAUUGCAUUCGAUAUUGGGAAGCUAGAGUAUGGGAGAGGAUGGUAGAAUUCCAGGUGUAGCGGUGAAAUGCGUAGAGAUCUGGAGGAAUACCGAUGGCGAAGCAGCCAUCUGGCCUAAUACUGACGCUGAGGUACGAAAGCAU
This 721-nucleotide ribosomal RNA is filed under the name uncultured bacterium. RNAcentral's name for it is "bacterial SSU rRNA". It matches the Rfam family "Bacterial small subunit ribosomal RNA", at positions 46 to 762 of the family's 1533-position model. The record is from RNAcentral.